Molecule: ribosomal RNA, 501 nt
Filed under: uncultured bacterium
Lineage: Bacteria
Description: SSU rRNA
Rfam family: Bacterial small subunit ribosomal RNA
Source: RNAcentral
AGAACGAACGCUGGCGGCGUGGAUAAGACAUGCAAGUCGAACGGGUUUAGUUUCGGAGCAAUUCGGAAUUAGGCCAGUGGCGAACGGGUGCGUAACACGUGAGUCAUCUGCCUGAAAGUGGGGGAUAGCUCGCCGAAAGGCGAAUUAAUACCGCAUGUGGUUGUAAGACCAAAGCCGGGGCAACCUGGCGCUUUUAGAGGAACUCGCGGCCUAUCAGCUUGUUGGUGAGGUAACGGCUUACCAAGGCUUCGACGGGUAGCUGGUCUGAGAGGACGACCAGCCACACUGGAACUGAGACACGGUCCAGACACCUACGGGUGGCAGCAGUCGAGAAUUUUUUCUCAAUGGGGGAAACCCUGAAGGAGCGACGCCGCGUGGAGGAUGAAUGCUUUCGGGUUGUAAACUCCUGUCAUUUGGGAACAAAGCCUUACGUUAACUGCGUGGAGGUUUGAUAGUACCGAAAGAGGAAGAGACGGCUAACUCUGCGCCAGCAGCCGCGGU